AUCCUCGAGGGUUAAUACCA
This 20-nucleotide unclassified non-coding RNA is filed under the name Mus musculus (house mouse). Its description in RNAcentral is "oocyte_clustered_small_RNA4000". The record is from RNAcentral. Lineage: Eukaryota; Metazoa; Chordata; Mammalia; Rodentia; Muridae.